Aegilops tauschii subsp. strangulata is the source of this 1446-nucleotide non-coding RNA. Lineage: Eukaryota; Viridiplantae; Streptophyta; Magnoliopsida; Poales; Poaceae. The record is from RefSeq and is a predicted model, not a curated record.
UAAAACAAGCAUAACUUCAAAAUUUUCAACACAUAGAGAGGAAACUUGAUAUUAUUGAGAUAUGUAAAAGCAUAUGUGUUUGACGAAGUUUUGUACUAAAAAGGAGUGGUUAAAUAAGUACUAAAAAGAUACGGAUCAACUCUUUUUCCUCUCUCUUACAUGACCAAUUGCUUAAUUGUUAUUUUUUUGAACGAAAAGGAAUUUUCGGGAGUACAGGAUAAACAGGGAAGAGUAUAUGUACACACAUGGUGGACUAGUGCAUGCACGAAAUAGUUAAUCUCUUGAUUGAAUCUUGUACGUGGUGCAUGGUAAUUUUUCCUAUGUACGUACAUGCAUGCAUGAGGGCGGCAAUAUGUACAGCGGAAAUAUAUGCCUCGGUUAUACGUGGCAGCCGCAACGACGGACAUACAAAUAAGCAUACGAACACCCGCACAUAUGAUAGAUUGAUGGAUAUAUUUUUGAGGUCUAGAUGUGCACUCGAAAGUGUCGCGGCUAGUGCAAGACAAGUCGAAGCUGUUACAUCAAGCAUUGGUGGAGUCCAACGAGCCGGAAGGACUGCAGCAUAUACACCAGGGAGGCUGUGGUUAGCUAGCCUCACCGUUGUUGGAAGCUGAUACAACGCAGCUCCAUGGCCAGUAUGAAGCAAAGACCCGGCGAGUAAAAGUAAAAAGGAGAUAUAUCACAAAAGCUAUCAUUUUAUUGAUCGAUGAUACAAAAGUUCACUGGGACUAAUCAAACUUUGUUCUGGACGAGCUAAGACAAAUUAUAUUUAACUAAGAUAGAACCUAUUUGAACUAAGUGCAGCUUUUGCAGAGCAGUCUAUGAUCUCUAGUCCGCUCCCUCACUCAGGAGCUUUGUAUGCUAGGAUCGUCGCGAUCUCCGGAAGUGUCCCGCCGGCGGCCAGGAAGGCAGCCACCUCCGCACGGCGUCUUGUGUACGAGUCGGCCACCUGUGAUGAACUCCGGACUGCAUCCUCAUGAGCUUCAACAUGGCGGGAGCUAGAAGUCAUCAUGUCAGCUAGGACGCAUAUGGAGGCGAGGUCAGCAAGGCGUCCCUCUAGGCGCGGCCCUUCCUUCUCGAGGCGGCGAAGUCCUUGAGUGAUCCCUGCAUGAGCUGCAUCAAGUUUCUCCAGCAGAGAUGACACUUGCGCCGGCGCGGGUGCCGAUGUGUCGGAAGUGUCAAGACCACCUUUUCUGCCCAGACGAGCCACCACUGCUUCAAGGUGGCGAAUCAGAAUCUCAAGGUCUGGCGGGACCUCGUUCGCAUAUGUGAUCUUCCACAUACUUAUCACAGACUCUAUUUUCAUGAUGGUUAGCUCCUCAUUGAUCGGCUGCUCCCUUAGUGCCUCUUGUAUAUCUUUGAGUCCUAUUGAGAUGUACUUUGCUGCUGUUCCGGGCGGGAGAACAAGGCUUGGUGUUGAGAUGUUACUAGUUGGAGGGACUUUGA